Molecule: ribosomal RNA, 1407 nt
Filed under: Triticum aestivum (bread wheat)
Lineage: Eukaryota; Viridiplantae; Streptophyta; Magnoliopsida; Poales; Poaceae
Description: partial small subunit ribosomal RNA
Source: RNAcentral
AUGACGCCCACCAUAGCCACUGCUCUGGUGCUCGCACUGACCCUUGCACACCAUGCCUCCCUUGCCUCCGCCGCCGGCCACAGGGUCAUCAUCGUCGGCGCCGGCAUGUCCGGGAUCUCGGCGGGGAAGCGGCUGUCGGAGGCCGGGAUAACGGACCUGCUGAUCCUGGAGGCGACGGACCACGUCGGCGGGAGGAUGCGCAAGCGGAAUUUCGGGGGCGUCAACGUGGAGAUGGGCGCCAACUGGGUGGAGGGCGUCAACGGCGGCAAGAUGAACCCCAUCUGGCCCCUCGUCAACUCCACGCUCAAGCUCAGGAACUUCCGCUCCGACUUCGACGGCCUCGCCGAGAACGUCUACAAGGAGCGGGGCGGCGUCUACGACAGAGCGUACGUGCAGAAGAGACUCCAUCGGUCGAACGAGGUGGAAGAGGGCGGCGCGAAGCUCUCCGCCAAGCUGCGCCCCAGCGGCCAGGACGACAUGUCCAUCCUCACCAUGCAACGCCUCAACAACCACUUGCCCAACGGGCCGGCGUCGCCGGUGGACAUGAUCCUGGACUACUUCAAGCACGACUACGAGUUCGCGGAGCCGCCGCGGGUGACCAGCCUGCAGAACGUGGUCCCUCUCGCCACCUUCAGGGACUACGUGUACUUCGUCGCCGACCGGCGCGGCUAUGAGGCCAUCGUGCACCACCUCGCCGGACAGUACCUCGAGGCCGACAAGUCCGGCAACAUCGUGGUGAGAGAGAUCUCCCACUCCGGGAGCGGCGUCGCCGUCAAGACGGAGGACGACAAGGUGUACAAGGCAGACUACGUCAUGGUCUCUACCAGCGUGGGGGUCCUGCAAUCCGAUCUCAUACAGUUUAAGCCACGGCUUCCUGCGUGGAAGAUCCUCUCGAUCUACCAGUUCGACAUGGCUGUGUACACCAAGAUCUUCGUCAAGUUCCCCCGGAAGUUCUGGCCUGAAGGGAAAGGGAGGGAGUUCUUCCUCUACGCGAGCAGCAGGAGAGGCUACUACGGGGUGUGGAGGCGCCAACGUUCUCCUGGUGACCGUCACCGACGAGGAGUCGAGGCGGACCGAGCAGCAGCCCGACAACCAGACCAAGGCGGAGAUCGUGGAGUCCUCGGCGAGGACGUCCCCGACGCGACGGACAUACUCGUGCCGCGGUGGUGGUCCGACAGGUUCUACAGGGGCACCUUCUCCAACUGGCCCAUCGGCGUCAACCGCUACGAAUACGACCAGCUCAGGGCACCGGUCGGGAGGGUUUACUUCAGUGGGGAGCACACCAGCGAGCACUACAACGGUUAUGUCCAUGGAGCUUAUCUUUCAGGUAUUGACUCUGCGGAUAUUCUGAUCAAGUGUGCUCAUAAGAGAAUGUGCAAACACCACAUCCCGGGCAAGUUUGAGUAG